Molecule: ribosomal RNA, 833 nt
Filed under: Arthrobacter sp. 070605-23_J10_10
Lineage: Bacteria; Bacillati; Actinomycetota; Actinomycetes; Micrococcales; Micrococcaceae
Description: partial 16S ribosomal RNA
Rfam family: Bacterial small subunit ribosomal RNA
Source: RNAcentral
AAGCAGCUGUACAUGCAGUCGNNCGAUGAUCCCCGCUUGCGGGGGGAUUAGUGGCGAACGGGUGAGUAACACGUGAGUAACCUGCCCUUGACUCUGGGAUAAGCCUGGGAAACUGGGUCUAAUACCGGAUAUGACCGUUCCUCGCAUGUGGUGUGGGGGAAAACUUUUUGUGGUUUUGAAGGAACCCCCGCCCUACCACUUUGUGGGGGGGGAAAGGGCCUCCCAGGGCAACCCCGGCCUGAAAGGGGAACCGGCCCCCCGGGAACUAAAACCCGGCCCAAACCCCUACGGAAGGCACCAUGGGGAAAUAUUGCCCAUGGGGCCCAACCCUAAUGCACCACCCCCCCUGGAGGAAGAACGGCCUCCGGUUUGUAACCCCCUUUCAUAAGGAAAAAACCUAAAUUAACGGACCCUGCAAAAAAACCCCCGGUUAAUUACUUGCCACCACCCCCGGAAUUCCUAAGGGCCCAGCCUUUUCCCGAAUUUAUGGGCCUAAAAAACCUCUAAGGCGGUUUGCCCCUCCUCCUGUAAAAUACCGGGCCUCACCUCCGAUCCUCCAUGGGGACCGGCCAAACUAAAUGGUGUAAGGGAAAACGGAAAUCCCUGGGGAACCGUUAAAUGGCCCAAAUUUCAGAAGAACCACCAAUGGCAAAGGCAGGCCUCUGGCCUUAACUUGACCCUGAGAACGAAAAGCUGGGGAACCAAACAGAAUAAAAUCCCCUGGUAUCCCAUGCCUAAACCUUGGGCCACUAGGGGUGGGGAACUUUCCACUUUUCCCCCGCCUAGCUAACGCCAUAAAUGCCCCGCCUGGGAGUACGGCCGCAGGGCUAAAC